AUUUGCACAGAUUCAGUCAAUGGCCUGUGGGUAACGAUGAAAGAAUACUAUUGCUAUAAAUUGCAUACACGGCCAAACAUAUUCAACCCAAUAUUGCAUGGCGGACGACUUUUCCAGCAGUUUGCUGUAGAUACAUACAUCAAGAUUGAAAGCUCUAGACUAGAUUACAUCUGGCAUCAUCAAAAGGAAAUAAGGGCAGAUCUAUAUCAAGGCCUUCUAGACAGCAUUCAAGCUGGAGAAGAAAAGGGAAACGCAGUCGGAAAACAGAGGGUACUUGCAUCAUCAUUUAUUGGAGGACCACGCGAUAAACUUCGCCGGUAUCUAGAUGCUAUGGCUUCGGUUAGAAAAUAUGGAAAGCCAGACAUAUUCCUCACAAUGACCUGCAACCCCAAUUGGGACGAGAUCACACGUGAACUACAAUCCGGGCAAACACCACAAGAUCGCCCAGAUAUUGUAGUUCGUGUUUUCAGGGCGAAGCUAGAAGAAAUGAAGAAGCAACUAUUUCAGAAGGCCAUUCUCGGAAAGGUUAAGGCAUAUACAUAUGUUGUA
RNAcentral lists this ribosomal RNA (549 nucleotides) under Triticum aestivum (bread wheat). RNAcentral's name for it is "partial small subunit ribosomal RNA". The record is from RNAcentral. Lineage: Eukaryota; Viridiplantae; Streptophyta; Magnoliopsida; Poales; Poaceae.